This is a long non-coding RNA of Platichthys flesus (European flounder), 1229 nucleotides long. RefSeq lists it as uncharacterized. The record is from RefSeq and is a predicted model, not a curated record. Lineage: Eukaryota; Metazoa; Chordata; Actinopteri; Pleuronectiformes; Pleuronectidae. The transcript is spliced from 5 exons.
GACAAAUUAAAUAAAACCCAGUAUGGGUCGGAAGGGGAGCGGAGAGCCACGCUGGCCAUCAGCGGUGGAGUAGGACAGUCAGUGAUGGGAGGAACAGUAGGGAAGGAAGGGAGAGGUGGGCAGGCCUGAGGAGUGGAGGCAGAGGAUGUUAGAGGAAGGCAGGAAAGGUUGACGGCUCUGGGUGGAAGGAAGACGAAAAAGGGGAGAAGAUGCUAAGGUUAGACACAGAGUUGAGUUGGUCCUCAUCAGGACUUUUGCAGAGGAACAUGUGAGGUUCUGCUCUGUCCCUGCGAGGCUGAGAGAGCUGUCAUGGACAAACAUCUGCAUCUAGGAUCAAUGAGAACAAGUUGAACAUUAACUGGAUAUUGUUUGAUUAGCAGCCAUUUCUUUCUUCUUCUUGUCCUGCUCAUCAUUUUUACAAAAGGUUUAUAAAAAGUGUAGAAAUGUCAGAACUCGUCUCAUCCUUGAUGGAUAUAUGGAGAAAAAAGAUGGACGUCUGGAGAACGGAGUGAAGAUUAAAUGUAAAGACGGAAAACACGACAAGUACCCUGAUCUCCCCCUGGUGGCUGGUUGCAGUUAAGUUAUUUUUCGGGUGCUCUUGAACGACAUGAAGAUAACGCGCUACAUACUCCUAACCAUGAAAACACCACCUAAAGGCCACGGACAUCUCUACUUCAAGUGCUCACGAUGUGAAACCGCAUGGAGAGAAGACGGCUCACCAGCAGCUUUGUGAUUCUUGGACAGCCUGGUUCCUGCAGACUGGACACACUGGCUCCUGUAGACUGGACACGCUGGUUUCUGCAGACUAGACACACGGUCUCGAACUGAGCAGCAGCUGAUGUGACACUGUGCAUUUCCCGAGCACCUGACGACGACACGGACACUGAAAAGACAAACACUGUGCGGAAUAUCAACUAACACGUUCACAUGGACCACAUCACACAGGACUUGGAUUCAUAUUCACCUGGAUCCAUAUUCAAUGCUCCAAAUAAAACCUGAAGUCACCUGAGGACAGCAGGAAAACCUUCCUACUUGGCCCGUGCAGUUUGUGGCUAACGAAGCACAACCAACUGACAUCAGCUUCCCCUCUUUAUCUCACUAAAGAUCAGAAACACAUCCCGCAACUUACCAACAAACAAUCAUCAGGGAAAGUGCCUGAACAGAUACAAUGAGUGAUGCUCAACAUGUUGCUUGGAUCAAUAAAAACAGGAGUUAAACCUGUUGAUUAG